Molecule: unclassified non-coding RNA, 204 nt
Filed under: Hevea brasiliensis (rubber tree)
Lineage: Eukaryota; Viridiplantae; Streptophyta; Magnoliopsida; Malpighiales; Euphorbiaceae
Source: RNAcentral
AUGGAUUGAAUGGUCCAAUUCAGGAGAGAAUAAGCAAUCUUCUCAAGGGGGUGAUACCCCACAAAUGAAGCGACCAAGGGUGCAUAGCCCUGUUGUGGAGGCCAAGGAGAAGGAUAAGACUUCAAAAAGUAUUGAUGCAGUGGAAUCUGAUAAAUCUGAUGAUCCAAAAUUAUUUGAUUUAUCAGCUGAUGAAAAACUAUUCAA